RNAcentral lists this ribosomal RNA (490 nucleotides) under uncultured bacterium. RNAcentral describes it as "bacterial SSU rRNA". It matches the Rfam family "Bacterial small subunit ribosomal RNA", at positions 38 to 507 of the family's 1533-position model. The record is from RNAcentral.
GGCGGCGUGCCUAACACAUGCAAGUCGAACGGAGAUUUCAGCAAUGGGAUCUUAGUGGCGAACGGGUGAGUAACGCGUAGACAACCUACCACUUAGAUGGGGACAACACUGGGAAACUAGUGCUAAUACCGAAUGUUGCAUCUUGGUUGCAUAAUCGAGAUACUAAAGAUGGCCUCUAUUUAUAAGCUAUCGCUAAGUGAUGGGUCUGCGUCUGAUUAGCUAGUUGGUGAGGUAAUGGCUCACCAAGGCGACGAUCAGUAGCCGGUCUGAGAGGAUGAACGGCCACACUGGGACUGAGACACGGCCCAGACUCCUACGGGAGGCAGCAGUGGGGAAUCUUCCGCAAUGGACGAAAGUCUGACGGAGCAACGCCGCGUGAGUGAAGAAGGUUUUCGGAUCGUAAAACUCUGUUUUCAGGGACGAAUGUGCCGAUUGUAAAUAAUGAUUGGUAAUGACGGUACCUGAGUAGAAAGCCACGGCUAACUACGUG